Molecule: ribosomal RNA, 497 nt
Filed under: uncultured bacterium
Lineage: Bacteria
Description: partial 16S ribosomal RNA
Rfam family: Bacterial small subunit ribosomal RNA
Source: RNAcentral
GAUGAACGCUGGCGGCGUGCCUAAUACAUGCAAGUCGAGCGAACGGACGAGAAGCUUGCUUCUCUGAUGUUAGCGGCGGACGGGUGAGUAACACGUGGAUAACCUACCUAUAAGACUGGGAUAACUUCGGGAAACCGGAGCUAAUACCGGAUAAUAUUUUGAACCGCAUGGUUCAAAAGUGAAAGACGGUCUUGCUGUCACUUAUAGAUGGAUCCGCGCUGCAUUAGCUAGUUGGUAAGGUAACGGCUUACGAAGGCAACGAUGCAUAGCCGACGUGAGAGGGUGAUCGGCCACACUGGAACUGAGACACGGUCCAGACUCCUACGGGAGGCAGCAGUAGGGAAUCUUCGGCAAUGGGCGAAAGCAUGACGGAGCAACGCCGCGUGUGUGAUGAAGGUCUUCGGAUCGUAAAACUCUGUUAUUAGGGAAGAACAUAUGUGGAAGUAACUGUGCACAUCUUGACGGUACCUAAUCAGAAAGCCACGGCUAACUACGUG